This 460-nucleotide ribosomal RNA is filed under the name uncultured bacterium. RNAcentral's name for it is "partial 16S ribosomal RNA". It matches the Rfam family "Bacterial small subunit ribosomal RNA", at positions 338 to 795 of the family's 1533-position model. The record is from RNAcentral.
CCUACGGGAGGCAGCAGUGAGGAAUAUUGGUCAAUGGGCGCUAGCCUGAACCAGCCAAGUCGCGUGAAGGAUGACUGCCCUACGGGUUGUAAACUUCUUUUAUAGGGGAAUAAAGUGCAGCAUGUAUACUGCUUUGCAUGUACCUUAUGAAUAAGGAUCGGCUAACUCCGUGCCAGCAGCCGCGGUAAUACGGAGGAUCCGAGCGUUAUCCGGAUUUAUUGGGUUUAAAGGGAGCGUAGGCGGGUUGUUAAGUCAGUUGUGAAAGUUUGCGGCGCAACCAUAGAAGUGCAGUUGAUACUGGCAGCCUUGAGUACAGUAGAGGUAGGCGGAAUUCGUGGUGUAGCGGUGAAAUGCUUAGAUAUCACGAAGAACUCCGAUGGCGAAGGCAGCUUGCUGGACUGUAACUGACGCUGAUGCGCGAAAGUGUGGGUAUCAAACAGGAUUAGAUACCCUUGUAGUC